CUCCAGAUCUUCUUGAGGGAAUUGAUUCAAAAUGCAUCUGAUGCUCUAGACAAAAUACGACUGCUUUCACUAACUGAUGAAAAAGCUCUUCUGGUAAUGAAGAACUCACAAUAAAAAUCAAGUGUGAUAAAGAGAAGAAUAUGCUUCAUGUUACAGACACUGGCAUUGGCAUGACUAAAGAAGAACUAAUAAAAAACCUGGGUACCAUUGCCAAGUCUGGUACAAGUGAAUUUCUAAGUAAGAUAACUGAGAUGCAGGAAGAGAACCAGUCAACUUCUGAGUUGAUUGGUCAGUUUGGUGUUGGCUUCUACUCAGCUUUCCUUGUGGCAGACAGGGUGAUUGUCACAUCAAA
Podarcis muralis (Common wall lizard) is the source of this 352-nucleotide non-coding RNA. NCBI's taxonomy places the organism in Eukaryota, Metazoa, Chordata, Lepidosauria, Squamata, Lacertidae. The record is from RefSeq and is a predicted model, not a curated record.